Molecule: ribosomal RNA, 253 nt
Filed under: uncultured bacterium
Lineage: Bacteria
Description: partial 16S ribosomal RNA
Rfam family: Bacterial small subunit ribosomal RNA
Source: RNAcentral
UACGGGGGGGGUAAGCGUUGUUCGGAAUUACUGGGCGUAAAGCGCGUGUAGGCGGCCCUGCAAGUCGGGUGUGAAAUCCCACGGCUCAACCGUGGAAGUGCACUCGAAACUGCAGGGCUAGAGUCCGGAAGAGGCGAGUGGAAUUCCUGGUGUAGCGGUGAAAUGCGCAGAUAUCAGGAGGAACACCGAUGGCGAAGGCAGCUCGCUGGGACGGUACUGACGCUGAGGCGCGAAAGCGUGGGGAGCAAACAGG